This 472-nucleotide long non-coding RNA is filed under the name Salmo salar (Atlantic salmon). RNAcentral describes it as "lncRNA (ENSSSAG00000109565.1)". Lineage: Eukaryota; Metazoa; Chordata; Actinopteri; Salmoniformes; Salmonidae. The record is from RNAcentral.
AGACUAUCACAUUCAACCUAAUGGAGUUAUAGACCUCCUCAGGCUGGUUAUAGACUAUCACAUUCAACCAAAUAGAGUUAUAGACCUCCUCAGGCUAGUUAUAGACUAUCACAUUCAACCGAAUGGAGAUAUAGACCUCCUCAGGCUGGUUAGAGGCAGAUUGAGAUCACAGUCAUGUUAAACGCCGUAGAUGUUGGCUCAAUUGGAAAUUACCUUUAAUUAACAAACUCGCUACAACUUGCAAUCGGAUUGCAUCCCGGCCAAAGAAUCAAAAGAUGAUUAUAAUAACACAUGGACUUCCUGACUUGAUGGAAAGGAGACAUCUAUAAAGAAUAAACAGGUGAUAUAAUAACACAUGGACUUCCUGACUUGAUGGAAAGGAGACAUCUAUAAAGAAUAAACAGGUGAUUACAUGGACUAAUAAUACAUGAUAACAUUUCAAAAUAAAGAAUCUAUGAGUAAACAAAAUAAG